RNAcentral lists this non-coding RNA (113 nucleotides) under human gut metagenome. RNAcentral's name for it is "FMN riboswitch (RFN element)". It matches the Rfam family "FMN riboswitch aptamer (RFN element)". Rfam says of the family: The RFN element is a highly conserved domain that is found frequently in the 5'-untranslated regions of prokaryotic mRNAs that encode for flavin mononucleotide (FMN) biosynthesis and transport proteins. This element is a metabolite-dependent riboswitch that directly binds FMN in the absence of proteins. In Bacillus subtilis, the riboswitch most likely controls gene expression by causing premature transcription termination within the 5' untranslated region of the ribDEAHT operon and precluding access to the ribosome-binding site of ypaA mRNA. The record is from RNAcentral.
AUCUUCAGGGCAGGGUGAAAUUCCCGAUCGGCGGUACAGUCCGCGAGCGUGCGUUGCGCGCAGGAUUUGGUGAAAUUCCAAAACCGACAGUAUAGUCUGGAUGGAAGAAGGUU